CCUAUGCCUGCUAUUGCAAUCAGAAGAAGAUUAGCCUUUGUCCCGACACGGACAACAAAACCGUUACUUUCUUCUGAACAAAAAGGACUAGAAUUUCACGCGGAACCAUGAAAUUUUCCACUGCAAUUGUCUUUUGCACAAUUUUACUCUGUGCCGUAACGAUUGGGACUCAAGCUCGGGAAUGCGGAUACAGUGGGUGCCGCGAGUUUGGGACUAUCGUGCAAACACGGUGUAGCACCGCGGCGACGGGUGGGCGUGGCAUGACGGAAUUCCAGUAUGACAAGAAAUGUGGGCUGUUCGGGUGGGGACGAAAGGACUAUUGCUGCACGAAAGAGUAAACGAUUGUCCGGAUUCGGAAUUUGAUUUUUGGGUCAAUAAGUUUACAGACAAGGAACAUUAAUGUUUUCAAUUAACUCUUAAUUGUUAAUAAUUAGACACAAAAAAUUGGCAUGCAUAAUAAAUAUUACGCAAACGUCAAUUAAUAAAACUUUUUCUUCUGUAUCGAA
Folsomia candida is the source of this 506-nucleotide long non-coding RNA. RefSeq lists it as uncharacterized. The transcript has 2 exons. The record is from RefSeq and is a predicted model, not a curated record. Lineage: Eukaryota; Metazoa; Arthropoda; Collembola; Entomobryomorpha; Isotomidae.